GAGUUAAGUGCUCAGAAUCCUCUAGUGACUUGAAUAGAAUUGUGAGCCAUUGACGACCAUCCUUUCCCGGGCCCAGAAUUGGAGAUCAGAGAGUAAUGUCUUGGUAGUGAGCUGUUGCCGUGUUUAUAAGUGGUGUCCCUGGCUCUGUCUGCUGCUAAUGGUGAGGAAACUGAGACACUGAAAUGCGGGAUCCAAGAGCUACGCAGCAGAACCACAGCUGAGGCAUAGCUGGUGAGUGAUGAUCAGCUACCUUCUCUCUGCGCCUUCCUACCUGGACCCCUUCCUGGACCUCUGGGUUGGUUCACACUUCUCCUUCUUCUGAUCUUACCAUGGCAGAAGUUACUCCUCUCUUAAGGCAGAGCUUGUGUUACGUGCAGCACUGAGGUGAAAGCCCUUCGUUCAUCAAUAUCAAAGCAGGGACGAAAGUCAAGUGACGCGAAUUCUUUCUCAUCUAAGUUCUGAGGCAGCAUCUUUUUUUGCCUGUGUCAAAAGAAGUGACUAGCAUCACAUUCCACGGCCAUUGUUUGUUGACCUUUUGA
Long non-coding RNA from Herpailurus yagouaroundi (jaguarundi), 539 nucleotides. RefSeq lists it as uncharacterized. NCBI's taxonomy places the organism in Eukaryota, Metazoa, Chordata, Mammalia, Carnivora, Felidae. The transcript has 3 exons. The record is from RefSeq and is a predicted model, not a curated record.